This 89-nucleotide microRNA precursor is filed under the name Jaculus jaculus (lesser Egyptian jerboa). RNAcentral's name for it is "miRNA (ENSJJAG00000000916.1)". Lineage: Eukaryota; Metazoa; Chordata; Mammalia; Rodentia; Dipodidae. The record is from RNAcentral.
CCUUGCUGGAGGAAGUGGGUCACUGGGGAUAGGCUUUGAGGUUUUAGAGUCCAGCCCUUCUAGCCUUCAUCACUCCUUAUGCUUCCUCC